AUGAAGCUGGAAUCGCUAGUAAUCGCGGAUCAGAAUGCCGCGGUGAAUACGUUCCCGGGUCUUGUACACACCGCCCGUCACACCAUGGGAGUCAGUAACGCCCGAAGCCGGUGACCCAACCUAUCAGGAGGGAGCCGUCGAAGGCGGGACGGAUGACUGGGGUGAAGUCGUAACAAGGUACC
Molecule: ribosomal RNA, 182 nt
Filed under: uncultured bacterium
Lineage: Bacteria
Description: partial 16S ribosomal RNA
Rfam family: Bacterial small subunit ribosomal RNA
Source: RNAcentral